Molecule: transfer RNA, 65 nt
Filed under: Dipodomys ordii (Ord's kangaroo rat)
Lineage: Eukaryota; Metazoa; Chordata; Mammalia; Rodentia; Heteromyidae
Rfam family: tRNA
About the family: Transfer RNA (tRNA) molecules are approximately 80 nucleotides in length. Their secondary structure includes four short double-helical elements and three loops (D, anti-codon, and T loops). Further hydrogen bonds mediate the characteristic L-shaped molecular structure. tRNAs have two regions of fundamental functional importance: the anti-codon, which is responsible for specific mRNA codon recognition, and the 3' end, to which the tRNAs corresponding amino acid is attached (by aminoacyl-tRNA synthetases). tRNAs cope with the degeneracy of the genetic code in two manners: having more than one tRNA (with a specific anti-codon) for a particular amino acid; and 'wobble' base-pairing, i.e. permitting non-standard base-pairing at the 3rd anti-codon position.
Source: Rfam by way of RNAcentral
GGUGGCUCAGUGGUAGAGUGCUUGCUUUGCACACAUGAGGCCCUGGGUUCAAUUCCUCAGCACCA